CCUACGGGGGGCAGCAGUGGGGAAUAUUGCACAAUGGGGGAAACCCUGAUGCAGCGACGCCGCGUGAGUGAAGAAGUAUUUCGGUAUGUAAAGCUCUAUCAGCAGGGAAGAAAAUGACGGUACCUGAGUAAGAAGCCCCGGCUAACUACGUGCCAGCAGCCGCGGUAAUACGGAGGGGGCAAGCGUUAUCCGGAUUUACUGGGUGUAAAGGGAGCGUAGACGGCAGCACAAGUCUGGAGUGAAAUGCCGGGGCUUAACCCCGGAACUGCUUUGGAAACUGUGCAGCUAGAGUGCAGGAGAGGUAAGUGGAAUUCCUUGUGUAGCGGUGACAUGCGUCGAUAUUAGGAGGAACACCAGUGGCGAAGGCGGCUUACUGGACUGUAACUGACGUUGCGGCUCGAAAGCGUGGGGAGCAAACAGGAUUAGAUACCCUUGUAGUC
Molecule: ribosomal RNA, 440 nt
Filed under: uncultured bacterium
Lineage: Bacteria
Description: partial 16S ribosomal RNA
Rfam family: Bacterial small subunit ribosomal RNA
Source: RNAcentral